Molecule: ribosomal RNA, 940 nt
Filed under: Pseudoalteromonas sp. WH10-7-1
Lineage: Bacteria; Pseudomonadati; Pseudomonadota; Gammaproteobacteria; Alteromonadales; Pseudoalteromonadaceae
Description: bacterial SSU rRNA
Rfam family: Bacterial small subunit ribosomal RNA
Source: RNAcentral
AUGCAGUCGAGCGGUAACAGAAAGUAGCUUGCUACUUUGCUGACGAGCGGCGGACGGGUGAGUAAUGCUUGGGAACAUGCCUUGAGGUGGGGGACAACAGUUGGAAACGACUGCUAAUACCGCAUAAUGUCUACGGACCAAAGGGGGCUUCGGCUCUCGCCUUUAGAUUGGCCCAAGUGGGAUUAGCUAGUUGGUGAGGUAAUGGCUCACCAAGGCGACGAUCCCUAGCUGGUUUGAGAGGAUGAUCAGCCACACUGGGACUGAGACACGGCCCAGACUCCUACGGGAGGCAGCAGUGGGGAAUAUUGCACAAUGGGCGCAAGCCUGAUGCAGCCAUGCCGCGUGUGUGAAGAAGGCCUUCGGGUUGUAAAGCACUUUCAGUCAGGAGGAAAGCUUGGUGGUUAAUACCUAUCAUCUGUGACGUUACUGACAGAAGAAGCACCGGCUAACUCCGUGCCAGCAGCCGCGGUAAUACGGAGGGUGCGAGCGUUAAUCGGAAUUACUGGGCGUAAAGCGUACGCAGGCGGUUUGUUAAGCGAGAUGUGAAAGCCCCGGGCUCAACCUGGGAACUGCAUUUCGAACUGGCAAACUAGAGUGUGAUAGAGGGUGGUAGAAUUUCAGGUGUAGCGGUGAAAUGCGUAGAGAUCUGAAGGAAUACCGAUGGCGAAGGCAGCCACCUGGGUCAACACUGACGCUCAUGUACGAAAGCGUGGGGAGCAAACGGGAUUAGAUACCCCGGUAGUCCACGCCGUAAACGAUGUCUACUAGAAGCUCGGAGCCUCGGUUCUGUUUUUCAAAGCUAACGCAUUAAGUAGACCGCCUGGGGAGUACGGCCGCAAGGUUAAAACUCAAAUGAUUUGACGGGGCCCGCACAAGCGGUGGAGCAUGUGGUUUAAUUCGAUGCACGCGAAAACCUUACCUACACUUGACAUACAGAGAA